AACGAACGCUGGCGGCAUGCCUAACACAUGCAAGUCGAACGAGACCUUCGGGUUUAGUGGCGCACUGGUCCGUAACGCGUUGGAACCUGCCCUUAAGUUCGGCAUAACUUCCCGAAUGGGGUGCUAAUACCGGCUCAUGUCUUCGGUCCAAAGAUUUAUCGCCUUUGGAUGGGCCGGCGUUGGAUUAGUUAGUUGUUAGGGUAAAUGCCUAUCACUGGUACGAUACAUAGAUGGUCAGAGAGGCUGCGCAGCGACACUGGGACUGAGACACGGUCCAGAAUACUACGGGAGGGAGCAGAGGGGAAUAUAGGAAAAUGGGCGAAAGGCUGAACCAGCAAGGACGGGUGAGUGAUGAAGGCUGGAGGGUAGGAAAGUAAGUUUACCCGGGAUGAUAAUGACAGUACCGGGAGAAUAAGCACCGGCUAACUCCGUG
Molecule: ribosomal RNA, 433 nt
Filed under: uncultured bacterium
Lineage: Bacteria
Description: partial 16S ribosomal RNA
Rfam family: Bacterial small subunit ribosomal RNA
Source: RNAcentral